CGAACGCUGGCGGCGUGCCUAACACAUGCAAGUCGAGCGAGGGGAGUUCUUCGGAACAAACCUAGCGGCGGACGGGUGAGUAACACGUGGGCAACCUGCCUCAUAGAGGGGAAUAGCCUUCCGAAAGGAAGAUUAAUACCGCAUAAGAUUGUAGCUUCGCAUGAAGCAGCAAUUAAAGGAGCAAUCCGCUAUGAGAUGGGCCCGCGGCGCAUUAGCUAGUUGGUGAGGUAACGGCUCACCAAGGCGACGAUGCGUAGCCGACCUGAGAGGGUGAUCGGCCACAUUGGGACUGAGACACGGCCCAGACUCCUACGGGGAGGCAGCAGUGGGGAAUAUUGCACAAUGGGGGAAACCCUGAUGCAGCAACGCCGCGUGAGUGAUGAAGGCCUUCGGGUUGUAAAGCUCUGUCUUCAGGGACGAUAAUGACGGUACCUGAGGAGGAAGCCACGGCUAACUACGUGCCAGCA
RNAcentral lists this ribosomal RNA (467 nucleotides) under uncultured bacterium. Its description in RNAcentral is "bacterial SSU rRNA". It matches the Rfam family "Bacterial small subunit ribosomal RNA", at positions 30 to 513 of the family's 1533-position model. The record is from RNAcentral.